GUGCCAAGCGGUGGAGCAUGUGGUUUAAUUCGACGCAACGCGCAGAACCUUACCAGCCCUUGACAUCCCGGUCGCGGACUCCAGAGACGGAGUUCUUCAGUUCGGCUGGACCGGAGACAGGUGCUGCAUGGCUGUCGUCAGCUCGUGUCGUGAGAUGUUGGGUUAAGUCCCGCAACGAGCGCAACCCCCGUCCUUAGUUGCUACCAUUUAGUUGAGCACUCUAAGGAGACUGCCGGUGAUAAGCCGCGAGGAAGGUGGGGAUGACGUCAAGUCCUCAUGGCCCUUACGGGCUGGGCUACACACGUGCUACAAUGGCGGUGACAAUGGGAUGCUAAGGGGCGACCCUUCGCAAAUCUCAAAAAGCCGUCUCAGUUCGGAUUGGGCUCUGCAACUCGAGCCCAUGAAGUUGGAAUCGCUAGUAAUCGUGGAUCAGCACGCCACGGUGAAUACGUUCCCGGGCCUUGUACACACCGCCCGUAAA
This 481-nucleotide ribosomal RNA is filed under the name Bradyrhizobium sp. DASA 68010. RNAcentral's name for it is "bacterial SSU rRNA". It matches the Rfam family "Bacterial small subunit ribosomal RNA", at positions 923 to 1400 of the family's 1533-position model. Lineage: Bacteria; Pseudomonadati; Pseudomonadota; Alphaproteobacteria; Hyphomicrobiales; Nitrobacteraceae. The record is from RNAcentral.